Molecule: long non-coding RNA, 732 nt
Organism: Arachis ipaensis
Lineage: Eukaryota; Viridiplantae; Streptophyta; Magnoliopsida; Fabales; Fabaceae
Source: RefSeq, a predicted model, not a curated record
UUAUUGGAUUGUAGUAGGCUAGCUUGUUUUGAGAUACUAGCAUAAAAAAUUGGUGGAAACCAAUUGUUAGUCUAAUAUUACCAAUGCUGCCUUCUGCAACUGAAAGUCUGACCAUGGGUUCUAAACAACUAUUUUAGAUAAAAUGAAUAAAAUAAAGGAAAACUUGUAAACAUCAAAAGGAAAAGGAUAUUGGUUGACUUGAGUAAUAAAAAUAUUUACUCUGUUUUUCGUGUUCUUUCAUUCUCAAUUAAACCCUCCCUCUCACUAAUUUUAUUAUUCUUUGCUACAGUUGCCUCACCAUUGGCACCAGAGAUGGAUUCAGAAUAUUUAAUACCAAUACUGGAAGGCUUUGUCACCAAACAUGUGUUGGAGGUUUUAUUAUUGUUGAGAUGUUGUUCAGCUCAAGUCUUCUUGCUAUUGUUGGUGUUGGUGAUAAGACUCGUUCUCAUUUUACAAGACAAGGCAUAAACAUAUAUGAAUUAAAUAGUCUGAGAGUCUUGGAGACUAUUGACACACUGCCAAACAUUGGUGAGGCUGGAAUUAAUACUGAUGAGAUUCCGUUCAAUUAGUAGAGUUUGUGAUAAGCACUACUUUUGUAAUGGGUGCAUGUCUAAUUUUUAUAAAUUGCGUUCUUGCGUAUAUAGCAUUGUCAGUACUGAAAAUGACAGUGUAGAACCUCUCGUUUUGAUAUCUUGUAUUAUCCAUAUAGUUAUUUGGUAACACUUUUUUUUA